Molecule: ribosomal RNA, 422 nt
Filed under: uncultured archaeon
Lineage: Archaea
Description: bacterial SSU rRNA
Rfam family: Archaeal small subunit ribosomal RNA
Source: RNAcentral
UCAGCCGCCGCGGUAAAACCAGCACCUCGAGUGGUCAGGAGGUUUAUUGGGCCUAAAGCAUCCGUAGCCGGUUGCAUAAGUUUUCGGUUAAAUCUAUGCGCUUAACGUAUAGGCCGCCGAAAAUACUGUGCAGCUAGGGAGUGGGAGAGGUACACGGUACUCGAUAGGAAGGGGUAAAAUCCUUUGAUCUAUUGAUGACCACCUGUGGCGAAGGCGGUGUACCAGAACACGUUCGACGGUGAGGGAUGAAAGCUGGGGGAGCAAACCGGAUUAGAUACCCGGGUAGUCCCGGCUGUAAACGAUGCAGACUCGGUGAUGCAUUGGCUUGUGGCCAAUGCAGUGCCGCAGGGAAGCCGUUAAGUCUGCCGCCUGGGAAGUACGUACGCAAGUAUGAAACUUAAAGGAAUUGGCGGGGGAGCACA